This is a non-coding RNA of Pelobates cultripes (western spadefoot toad), 205 nucleotides long. Lineage: Eukaryota; Metazoa; Chordata; Amphibia; Anura; Pelobatidae. The record is from the annotation of a GenBank genome assembly.
UAGGACUUUAUUUUGGUAUCUCUCUCUUUUUUAAGGUUUUUUCCUUUUAAAAUUUACCCUUUGCUUACUAUUAGCUGUAGUUGCCUUGUCUUUUGUACUAUCUUGUUAAUAGGGCCUGGAGGGAACCCUAUUUCUAGGUUUGCUGCCUUUUAUUCUCCUCAUUUAUAGUGUUGGUUUAUUUUAGCGCUGUUCCCUCUGUUCGUGC